Molecule: ribosomal RNA, 648 nt
Filed under: uncultured bacterium
Lineage: Bacteria
Description: bacterial SSU rRNA
Rfam family: Bacterial small subunit ribosomal RNA
Source: RNAcentral
AGCAUGAAGUAGCAAUACUUCGAUGACGACCGGCGCACGGGUGAGUAACACGUAUGCAACCUACCUUCCACAGGGGAAUAGCCCGGAGAAAUCCGGAUUAAUACCCCAUAACACAGGGAUACCGCAUGGUAAUAUUUGUUAAAGAUUAAUCGGUAGAAGAUGGGCAUGCGUUCCAUUAGCCAGUUGGUGAGGUAACGGCUCACCAAAGCAACGAUGGAUAGGGGAACUGAGAGGUUUAUCCCCCACACUGGAACUGAGACACGGUCCAGACUCCUACGGGAGGCAGCAGUGAGGAAUAUUGGUCAAUGGACGAGAGUCUGAACCAGCCAAGUCGCGUGAAGGAUGACUGCCCUACGGGUUGUAAACUUCUUUUGUAUGGGAGUAAAAAGAUGGACGUGUCCAUUAUUGCAAGUACCAUACGAAUAAGCAUCGGCUAACUCCGUGCCAGCAGCCGCGGUAAUACGGAGGAUGCAAGCGUUAUCCGGAUUUAUUGGGUUUAAAGGGUGCGUAGGCGGGACAAUAAGUCAGCGGUGAAAGUUUGAGGCUCAACCUUAAAAUUGCCGUUGAAACUGUCGUUCUUGAGUAUAUUUGAAGUAGGCGGAAUUCGUAGUGUAGCGGUGAAAUGCAUAGAUAUUACGAAGAACUCCA